This is a long non-coding RNA of Neofelis nebulosa (Clouded leopard), 490 nucleotides long. RefSeq lists it as uncharacterized. The record is from RefSeq and is a predicted model, not a curated record. The transcript is spliced from 2 exons. Lineage: Eukaryota; Metazoa; Chordata; Mammalia; Carnivora; Felidae.
GUCCUUGAUGAGUCCUACUGCUUUAAAGACCAGGCACCAUGGUUUCCAUCAAUAAUAAGGAGAGAGAUCAUCACUUGGCUUCAUUGCUGUCUCUAAAACUCAAAUGAAUACACCUGGGAAGAUUCGAGAAGUCGCUGAUUGGAUAGUUACACCAAAAUCAAAGAUCCAAGUCUAUAUGUGCUACAGAGCCAUCCCUCGCCCUAGUCACAGCCAUCUGGUUUCCUUCUACAUCUUGCUAUCUCAGUAAAGCUAAAGGAACAAGCUGAUCUGCUGGGAGCAAAUCAAUUUCUCAUUAUCCUUAAUGUGUGAAGAUGAGACUACUGACAGUGAUCACAGUCUUUGUCUACGGAUAGGGUUGAAAACUUGUGUUUACAUAACAGAAAAUGUUUUCAUAUAGAAGAGCCGGAAUAGGCAUACAUGGCUGUGGGAUGCUGUGUCUUAACGUGGAAGCUAAUUCCUCUCAACAAAUAAACUUAGCAUUUCUCAACGU